GAUGAACGCUGGCGGCGUGCCUAAUACAUGCAAGUCGAGCGAAUGGAUUAAGAGCUUGCUCUUAUGAAGUUAGCGGCGGACGGGUGAGUAACACGUGGGUAACCUGCCCAUAAGACUGGGAUAACUCCGGGAAACCGGGGCUAAUACCGGAUAACAUUUUGAACCGCAUGGUUCGAAAUUGAAAGGCGGCUUCGGCUGUCACUUAUGGAUGGACCCGCGUCGCAUUAGCUAGUUGGUGAGGUAACGGCUCACCAAGGCAACGAUGCGUAGCCGACCUGGGAGGGUGAGAGGCCACACUGGGACUGAGACACGGCCCAGACUCCUACGGGAGGCAGCAGUAGGGAAUCUUCCGCAAUGGACGAAAGUCUGACGGAGCAACGCCGCGUGAGUGAUGAAGGCUUUCGGGUCGUAAAACUCUGUUGUUAGGGAAGAACAAGUGCUAGUUGAAUAAGCUGGCACCUUGACGGUACCUAACCAGAAAGCCACGGCUAACUACGUGCCAGCAGCCGCGGUAA
This 515-nucleotide ribosomal RNA is filed under the name uncultured bacterium. Its description in RNAcentral is "partial 16S ribosomal RNA". It matches the Rfam family "Bacterial small subunit ribosomal RNA", at positions 28 to 523 of the family's 1533-position model. The record is from RNAcentral.